Molecule: ribosomal RNA, 497 nt
Filed under: uncultured bacterium
Lineage: Bacteria
Description: partial 16S ribosomal RNA
Rfam family: Bacterial small subunit ribosomal RNA
Source: RNAcentral
GAUGAACGCUGGCGGCGUGCCUAAUACAUGCAAGUCGAGCGAACAGACGAGGAGCUUGCUCCUCUGACGUUAGCGGCGGAUGGGUGAGUAACACGUGGAUAACCUAUCUAUAAGACUGGGAUAACUUCGGGAAACCGGAGCUAAUACCGGAUAAUAUAUUGAACCGCAUGGUUCAAUAGUGAAAGACGGUUUUGCUGUCACUUAUAGAUGGAUCCGCGCCGCAUUAGCUAGUUGGUAAGGUAACGGCUUACCAAGGCGACGAUGCGUAGCCGACCUGAGAGGGUGAUCGGCCACACUGGAACUGAGACACGGUCCAGACUCCUACGGGAGGCAGCAGUAGGGAAUCUUCCACAAUGGGCGAAAGCCUGACGGAGCAACGCCGCGUGAGUGAUGAAGGUCUUCGGAUCGUAAAACUCUGUUAUUAGGGAAGAACAAAUGUGUAAGUAACUAUGCACGUCUUGACGGUACCUAAUCAGAAAGCCACGGCUAACUACGUG